RNAcentral lists this ribosomal RNA (593 nucleotides) under uncultured bacterium. Its description in RNAcentral is "partial 16S ribosomal RNA". It matches the Rfam family "Bacterial small subunit ribosomal RNA", at positions 356 to 933 of the family's 1533-position model. The record is from RNAcentral.
UGGGAAUCUUCCGCAAUGGACGAAGUCUGACGGAGCAACGCCGCGUGUAUGAUGAAGGUCUUCGGAUUGUAAAGUACUGUCAUUGGGGAAGAACGGUUUUCUUGAAAAGAUUGAGAAGACAUGACGGUACCCAAGGAGGAAGCCCCGGCUAACUACGUGCCAGCAGCCGCGGUAAUACGUAGGGGGCAAGCGUUGUCCGGAAUUAUUGGGCGUAAAGGGCGCGUAGGCGGGCCUUUAAGUCCGGUGUGAAAGAUCAGGGCUCAACCCUGAGAGUGCAUCGGAAACUGGAGGCCUUGAGGACAGGGGAGGAAAGUGGAAUUCCACGUGUAGCGGUGAAAUGCGUAGAUAUGUGGAGGAACACCAGUGGCGAAGGCGACUUUCUGGACUGUAACUGACGCUGAGGCGCGAAAAGCGUGGGGAGCAAACAGGAUUAGAUACCCUGGUAGUCCACGCCGUAAACGAUGAGUGCUAGGUGUAGAGGGUAUCGACCCCCUUCUGUGCCGCAGUUAACACAAUAAAGGCACUCCCGCCUGGGGAGUACGAUCGCAAGAUUAAAAACUCAAAAGGAAUUGACGGGGGUCAUAGCUGUUUUU